This 126-nucleotide non-coding RNA is filed under the name Tryblionella compressa. The record is from RNAcentral. Lineage: Eukaryota; Bacillariophyta; Bacillariophyceae; Bacillariales; Bacillariaceae.
CGGGCUGGUCUCUCCGGCAGCUCUCAUCACAAAUCAUCAUCUGAUCGCAGCAAGGAACGGAAAGUACCUUCGAGGUCCAAAUCCGAUCACGGUCAUCAUAAAAGGAAACCAUCUUCCGAACGAGGA